UACGAAGGGUGCAAACGUUGCUCGGAAUUAUUGGGCGUAAAGCGCACGUAGGCGGCUUUGCAAGUCGGAUGUGAAAUCCCUCGGCUUAACCAAGGAAGUGCAUCCGAAACUGCAGAGCUUGAGUACUUAAGAGGAUCGCGGAAUUCCCGGUGUAGAGGUGAAAUUCGUAGAUAUCGGGAGAAACACCAGUGGCGAAGGCGGCGAUCUGGGAAGAUACUGACGCUGAGGUGCGAAAGCGUGGGGAGCAAACAGG
This 253-nucleotide ribosomal RNA is filed under the name uncultured bacterium. RNAcentral's name for it is "partial 16S ribosomal RNA". It matches the Rfam family "Bacterial small subunit ribosomal RNA", at positions 524 to 776 of the family's 1533-position model. The record is from RNAcentral.